Molecule: ribosomal RNA, 479 nt
Filed under: uncultured bacterium
Lineage: Bacteria
Description: partial 16S ribosomal RNA
Rfam family: Bacterial small subunit ribosomal RNA
Source: RNAcentral
GAUGAACGCUGGCGGCGUGCUUAACACAUGCGAGUCGAACGAAGCACUUAAGAUUGAUUCUUCGGAUGACGUCUUUUGUGACUUAGUGGCGGACGGGUGAGUAACGCGUGGGUAACCUGCCUCACACAGGGGGAUAACAGUUAGAAAUGACUGCUAAUACCGCAUAACCCGAUAGGAUCGCAUGAUCCAGACGGAAAAGAUUUAUCGGUGUGAGAUGGACCCGCGUCUGAUUAGCUAGUUGGUGAGGUAACGGCCCACCAAGGCGACGAUCAGUAGCCGGCCUGAGAGGGUGAACGGCCACAUUGGGACUGAGACACGGCCCAAACUCCUACGGGAGGCAGCAGUGGGGAAUAUUGCACAAUGGGGGAAACCCUGAUGCAGCGACGCCGCGUGAGUGAAGAAGUAUUUCGGUAUGUAAAGCUCUAUCAGCAGGGAAGAAAAUGACGGUACCUGACUAAGAAGCCCCGGCUAACUACGUG